AGGGAUAGCCUUUCGAAAGAAAGAUUAAUACCCGAUGGUAUGAUGAGAUUGCAUGAUAGCAUCAUUAAAGAUUUAUCGGUGUACGAUGGGGAUGCGUUCCAUUAGGUAGUAGGCGGGGUAACGGCCCACCUAGCCGACGAUGGAUAGGGGUUCUGAGAGGAAGGUCCCCCACAUUGGAACUGAGACACGGUCCAAACUCCUACGGGAGGCAGCAGUGAGGAAUAUUGGUCAAUGGACGAGAGUCUGAACCAGCCAAGUAGCGUGAAGGAUGAAGGUCCUACGGAUUGUAAACUUCUUUUAUAAGGGAAUAAAACCUCCCACGUGUGGGAGCUUGUAUGUACCUUAUGAAUAA
This 352-nucleotide ribosomal RNA is filed under the name uncultured bacterium. RNAcentral's name for it is "bacterial SSU rRNA". It matches the Rfam family "Bacterial small subunit ribosomal RNA", at positions 139 to 489 of the family's 1533-position model. The record is from RNAcentral.